RNAcentral lists this ribosomal RNA (616 nucleotides) under uncultured earthworm cast bacterium. Its description in RNAcentral is "bacterial SSU rRNA". It matches the Rfam family "Bacterial small subunit ribosomal RNA", at positions 52 to 663 of the family's 1533-position model. The record is from RNAcentral.
CACAUGCAAGUCGAGCGGUAGAGAGAAGCUUGCUUCUCUUGAGAGCGGCGGACGGGUGAGUAAUGCCUAGGAAUCUGCCUGGUAGUGGGGGAUAACGUUCGGAAACGGACGCUAAUACCGCAUACGUCCUACGGGAGAAAGCAGGGGACCUUCGGGCCUUGCGCUAUCAGAUGAGCCUAGGUCGGAUUAGCUAGUUGGUGAGGUAAUGGCUCACCAAGGCGACGAUCCGUAACUGGUCUGAGAGGAUGAUCAGUCACACUGGAACUGAGACACGGUCCAGACUCCUACGGGAGGCAGCAGUGGGGAAUAUUGGACAAUGGGCGAAAGCCUGAUCCAGCCAUGCCGCGUGUGUGAAGAAGGUCUUCGGAUUGUAAAGCACUUUAAGUUGGGAGGAAGGGCAGUUACCUAAUACGUGAUUGUUUUGACGUUACCGACAGAAUAAGCACCGGCUAACUCUGUGCCAGCAGCCGCGGUAAUACAGAGGGUGCAAGCGUUAAUCGGAAUUACUGGGCGUAAAGCGAGCGUAGGUGGUUUGUUAAGUUGGAUGUGAAAUCCCCGGGCUCAACCUGGGAACUGCAUUCAAAACUGACUGACUAGAGUAUGGUAGAGGGUGGGU